Columba livia (rock pigeon) is the source of this 2049-nucleotide long non-coding RNA. RefSeq lists it as uncharacterized. The record is from RefSeq and is a predicted model, not a curated record. The transcript is spliced from 8 exons. NCBI's taxonomy places the organism in Eukaryota, Metazoa, Chordata, Aves, Columbiformes, Columbidae.
CUUCAAGCCGUGGGCAGACUCAGAGGAGCAGCCUGCCAGGCCCCUUUCUGCUGCAGAAAUGAUCACACCCCGUAAGCAGGGAAAUUGCAGCAUCACCAUGAAGCACUGGAAGCUGAUACUGGUGGAAAUGAAGUUCUGGGCUGCAGCAAGCUCAGCAGAGCUGGAGGAGAGCAGGACAAGCUCGUGCCACACAGCUGCGGAGCUUAGUGCUCCAAGCUCCACAACCAGCCCGCCGGCCACCUGGAACCUGACAACUGCCCAGAGCGCAGGGCAGAGCUGUCCCGGGCUCUUCCAGCAGCAGGGCUGGCUCCCUCAUGCCCGUCUUUCCACCUGAACGUUCCCUGGUCUGGUUAGAACAGUCUUCAGAAGAAAAACGAUGGUCAUCACACGCCAGAUAAAUUAGUCCCAAGAAGAAAAACCCCUGUUUGGAUCCACAGGUGCAUUUCUGAUCCCAGGAUCCAGUCUAUGCCAUUGGAAGGAUGUGAUUUCAGCCAGGAAAUGCGACAUCAGCUGCAACAAAGAGUAAAUCCAAGAGUCAUCCAAAGCAGAGCAGGUCUCUACUCUGCCUGUACUUCUGAGCGAGCAGCUGAGGACACAAGCGACUCUCCUAACUGCUGUUCACUGAUGAUGUAACACUUCAUCACCCCACUGCCUCUAAACUUACCAUCUUUGGCAUCAAAACUGGAAAAACACGGGACAGCAGCACCAGAUUCUGUGUGCCAGAACAUCUCCUCCCUGACCUGGAAACAUCACACCAAAGAAGUGAAUUCAUCCUCUGUGCUCAGUCACUGCAUUUAUGCGUCUUGCUGCACAACAAGCCCGCGGGGAUGGCUGGUGAAAAAGGCAGGAGUCAGCACGAAAAAGGGCCCUGCAGCCUGGCAUCGCUUCUCUGCAGUGACUCACCUCCUGUCAAGUAGGGCUGUGGGCUCUGCAAGUUUUAGGUUCGGCUUGGUUAGUUCAGCACAGAACCAGCCUGAUCUAGAGCCACCAGAGACACCAGGAGCUGGGGCCCAGUGUCACUGGGAGAGGAGCCAGCCGGGGACAUGGAGGAGGACCCGGGAGAAGCACUGAGGAGCUGCAGGGAGCUCCAGAGAUGGAGGGUACUGUGAGUCCAGGAAUAACCAGGGCUGGUACCUGCACAGCGGCUCUGGGAGCAGAUCAGCGAGAAGGCGGCAGCAGAGGCAGCUCGGGGCACUGUCUCCUGCCACGGACUGGCCACAGAGCGAGGCCAGCCUGACCCAGGAGCGAAUUCCUAACCUGUUCCUCACACCGAGCAUGGGAGAAGCAGGGAGAGAGCUGUGCCUGCUGCAGUGUACUCAGGGUCAUGUCUAAAGGCAUGUCAGAUGGCAACAUGAACAGCAGAAAAGCCCUGGGCCAACAGGAUCUGUUGUUCCAGAAGGAGCCCAGCUGUUUCACACAGUUACAAAGCCGGCUGCCAAAUCUCCUCACAUGCUGAUGAUGCCGAGAUCAGGAAUGAGUCUCCGCACAGUUGCCAUGGGUGCGAGUCAGGCGACUGUGGCUCAGGCAUUUCAAUGAAUCAUAGAAUGUCCCGAGCUGGAAGGGACCCACAAGCAUCAUCGAGUCCAACUCCUGUCCCUGCACAGGAUAACCCCAAAAUUCACAUGCAUUUUUGUGUUUCUGAUUUACCUAGAACCCAGGGCAGGAUCAUCCACUCCACGAUGGUGGGAGGUGGUCCCUGCAUGUGGAGGUCAGUCCUGACGAUGUGCUGCGACGCCAGCAAGAGCAUGAAGAGGAAGGUUAGGUUCUGACUGUCUCAAACAGAUCACUGUCAGCGUCUUUAAGAAGCGACUAAAUGAUGAGACAGGAGGGAAAAGGUGUAAAGCUCUGGGAAGGUUUGUGUGAGAGGGCUGGAUGCAUCCAGCAGCGUGUGGGGAGCUGCCCGUGGGUCUGUGCACGGAGGGCACACGCGUGUGCGCGGGCGGGCAGGAGCCAGCACGCCGCGAUGUGCGGCUCAGCCGGGCGACGUCUGCUGGGCAGCAGGACAGCACGCUGGGGAACGCGCCUCGCCGCGAGGAACGCAGCGCUUGU